CUUGGUCAUUUAGAGGAAGUAAAAGUCGUAACAAGGUCUCCGUUGGUGAACCAGCGGAGGGAUCAUUACAGAGUUGCAAAACUCCCUAAACCAUUGUGAACGUUACCUAAACCGUUGCUUCGGCGGGCGGCCCGGGUCCUUCCCGGCGCCCCUCGGCCCUCGCGGGCGCCCGCCGGAGGUAAACCAAACUAUUGCAUUGUAUGGCCUCUCUGAGUCUUCUGUACUGAAUAAGUCAAAACUUUCAACAACGGAUCUCUUGGUUCUGGCAUCGAUGAAGAACGCAGCGAAAUGCGAUAAGUAAUGUGAAUUGCAGAAUUCAGUGAAUCAUCGAAUCUUUGAACGCACAUUGCGCCCGCCAGUAUUCUGGCGGGCAUGCCUGUUCGAGCGUCAUUUCAACCAUCAAGCCCCGGGCUUGUGUUGGGGACCUGCGGCUGCCGCAGGCCCUGAAAUGCAGUGGCGGGCUCGCUGUCACUCCGAGCGUAGUAGUUACGUCUCGCUCUGGGCGUGCUGCGGGUUCCGGCCGUUAAAAGCCUUAUUUACCCAAGGUUGACCUCGGAUCAGGUAGGUGACCCGCUGAACUUAAGCAUAUCAAUAAGCGGAGGA
RNAcentral lists this ribosomal RNA (603 nucleotides) under uncultured fungus. RNAcentral describes it as "eukaryotic LSU rRNA". The stretch from base 237 to 390 matches the Rfam family "5.8S ribosomal RNA". The record is from RNAcentral. Lineage: Eukaryota; Fungi.